GCUAAUUCUGUCUGCGGGAAGUGUCUCGCGAUGCGCGUUUCAAGACUAUGUGGAUGGUCUCGGAGACCAGCCAGUGACUUGUGCAAUUCAGCCCCUCGACUGCCUUUCCAUCUGUGAGCUCUGGAUGUGGCACAGGGCUUAUGCGGGGAUUGUGCGGAGAUGUGGGCUCGUACUCCCUGCCACCCACAGACUGCGGCAGGUGAUGACAUGGAGACUGCAGGAAGAUGCACCCAAUUCAGGACAGCUGUUGCCUACGUGGAAGGAGGGAAACCAGACUGAGGAGGGAAGAAUGAGGACUUCAACUUUACCUCCAGUGUGUUACUUCUUGUAUUUAAAAAAGCGAUGCCAAAUUGUCAAAACCUUAAAAUUUGUUGAUUCCGGGCAAGUAGGUUCAA
Neofelis nebulosa (Clouded leopard) is the source of this 395-nucleotide long non-coding RNA. RefSeq lists it as uncharacterized. The transcript is spliced from 2 exons. NCBI's taxonomy places the organism in Eukaryota, Metazoa, Chordata, Mammalia, Carnivora, Felidae. The record is from RefSeq and is a predicted model, not a curated record.